RNAcentral lists this unclassified non-coding RNA (148 nucleotides) under uncultured Sordariales. Its description in RNAcentral is "sequence contains ITS2". Lineage: Eukaryota; Fungi; Ascomycota; Sordariomycetes; Sordariales. The record is from RNAcentral.
CAACCAUCAAGCCUCAGGCUUGUGUUGGGGCCCUGCGGCUGCCGCAGGCCCCUAAAAGCAGUGGCGGACUCGCUGUCAUACCGAGCGCAGUAACACAUCUCGCUCAGGGCGUGGCGGCGGGCACCGGCCGUAAAACUCUUACACCUAA